GCUUGUCUCAAAGAUUAAGCCAUGCAUGUCUAAGUAUAAGCAAUCAUACUGUGAAACUGCGAAUGGCUCAUUAAAUCAGUUAUCGUUUAUUUGAUAGUACCUUUACCUGGAUAACCGUGGUAAUUCUAGAGCUAAUACAUGCUAACAACCCCGACUUCGGGAGGGGUGUAUUUAUUAGAUAAAAAACCAAUGCCCUUCGGGGCUCCUUGGUGAUUCAUAAUAACUUAACGAAUCGCAUGGCCUUGCGCCGGCGAUGGUUCAUUCAAAUUUCUGCCCUAUCACCUUUCGAUGGUAAGGUAUUGGCUUACCAUGGGAGCAACGGGUAACGGGGAAUAAGGGUUCUAUUCCGGAGAGGGAGCCUGAGAAACGGCUACCACAUCCAAGGAAGGCAGCAGGC
This 397-nucleotide ribosomal RNA is filed under the name uncultured fungus. Its description in RNAcentral is "SSU rRNA". It matches the Rfam family "Eukaryotic small subunit ribosomal RNA", at positions 30 to 433 of the family's 1831-position model. Lineage: Eukaryota; Fungi. The record is from RNAcentral.